Molecule: transfer RNA, 73 nt
Filed under: Danio rerio (zebrafish)
Lineage: Eukaryota; Metazoa; Chordata; Actinopteri; Cypriniformes; Danionidae
Description: tRNA-Val (TAC) (tRNA-Val-TAC-13 1 to 3)
Rfam family: tRNA
About the family: Transfer RNA (tRNA) molecules are approximately 80 nucleotides in length. Their secondary structure includes four short double-helical elements and three loops (D, anti-codon, and T loops).
Source: Rfam by way of RNAcentral
GUUUCCAUAGUGUAGUAGUUAUCACGUUCGCCUUACACGCGAAAGGUCCCCAGUUCGAAACUGGGUGGAAACA